RNAcentral lists this ribosomal RNA (253 nucleotides) under uncultured bacterium. RNAcentral describes it as "partial 16S ribosomal RNA". It matches the Rfam family "Bacterial small subunit ribosomal RNA", at positions 524 to 776 of the family's 1533-position model. The record is from RNAcentral.
UACAGAGGGUGCAAGCGUUGUUCGGAAUUAUUGGGCGUAAAGGGCGCGUAGGCGGUGCGGUAAGUCUGUAGUGAAAUCUCUGGGCUCAACUCAGAGUCUGCUAUAGAAACUGCCGUGCUUGAGUGUGGGAGAGGUGAGUGGAAUUCCUGGUGUAGCGGUGAAAUGCGUAGAUAUCAGGAGGAACACCUGUGGCGAAAGCGGCUCACUGGACCACAACUGACGCUGAUGCGCGAAAGCGUGGGGAGCAAACGGG